This 207-nucleotide ribosomal RNA is filed under the name uncultured bacterium. RNAcentral describes it as "partial 16S ribosomal RNA". It matches the Rfam family "Bacterial small subunit ribosomal RNA", at positions 568 to 774 of the family's 1533-position model. The record is from RNAcentral.
CGCGUAGGUGGUUUGUUAAGUUGGAUGUGAAAGCCCCGGGCUCAACCUGGGAACUGCAUCCAAAACUGGCAAGCUAGAGUACGGUAGAGGGUGAUGGAAUUUCCUGUGUAGCGGUGAAAUGCGUAGAUAUAGGAAGGAACACCAGUGGCGAAGGCGACCACCUGGACUGAUACUGACACUGAGGUGCGAAAGCGUGGGGAGCAAACA